UGAAGGCAGAGAGGUCAGCAGGCUCGGGGGCCUCUGCUCCAGCGGACAACAAGCGCACCGGGCGGGAACGGCCGCCUCCCCAGGCGCUGCAGCCUAGCUCUCAUGUGACCCACGGAACUUAGCCCCUCUGUUCUGUUUGCAUACCUGCAAAUUGUGGGCAUUCACGCCGGGACUGCCAACUCACCAGGUUAUUUAUAGUGACAAGAGAGUGAGACAGUGGGCUUGAAAGUGUUUUCCAGACCAAGGCUCUGUCCCACAUAUAGGUGGAUUAACUGGCAAAGGCAGGAAUCCAUUGAAGGGGCCAUCUCCACAUUCAGAACCAAGGUCUCUUCUUCGGCCUCUCUGACAUGGUGCCAGCCCUGCUGGAGUCAGCAGGAAUCCAGCACAACAGAUGGUGGUCAGUGGUGACUUCAGCACAGGCAGUUCGUGGGGAGUGGUUGGUGGCCAUGGAGUCCUGACUGGAGUAGGUUAAAAAGAAGGAGGAAAAUCACAAGAAAGAGAGACUGGAGGCAGCCACCUCUCAACAACCCAUGAAGUGUCUGGAGCUCCACCCUCUGCUCAAGAGGAACGGCACAUGACCCAGGCCUAUGCCAAUCAGCAUUUCACAUUCCUCAUGAUUGGUUCAAAGCUCCCACAGGCCCAUUCUGGUGACUCAUGACUUGUAUACACAGAACAACAGAAAAAAGAAAAAUAGAAUUAGAUAAACAAGCAGGGGCAACAGUGAGGGCUAUGUCUUACAAAGAACCAUUUUUAAUUGAAUUCAUUUUCUCUCUUGAAAUUCUUUUUUUUUCCCUCAAAAGUGGGAAAAAAUUCUCAAAUAACAACAGCAAACCAAGAAAGCAGCUUAGUCUGCACUGCAUUUGCAUUUCUUAGUUUCAUUCCCUAUUCAAAAAUGUCUUAGGCAAAUGUGUGGGAAUGAACAUGCACUUUAAAAUUAUGGGACCUAGUAGAUUUAAUGGAAUGAGCCCUGGAUUGGGAGCCAGGGGACCUGGCUUUGAAUGGUCCCAACCCAGGCACUUAUUUACCUUAGUUUCUUCACUUAUAAAAUUAAACACACCAUCUACUGAUGAAUGGAUAAACAAAAUAUGAUAUCCACAGAAGGGAAUCUUGUUCAGCCGUGAGAAGGAAUGAAGUAUGGACAUGUGCUAUAAUGUGGAUGUGCCUUAAAGACAUUAUGCUAAGUGAAAGAAGCCAGACACAAAGACCAUACAUUUCACGAUUCCACUUACGUGAAAUGUACAGAAUAGCUAAAUCUAAGGACAUAAAGUAGGUUAGCUAAUGGGUACAGGUUUCUUUCUGGGUUGAUGAAAUGUUCCAAAAUUGAUUGUGCUGAUGGUUGUAUUUAAAACUCUGCAUAUACCGAAAACCAUUUAAUUGUACAUUUUAAAUGAGUGAAUUGUAUGCUAUGUGAAUUAUAUCUCAAUAAAGUUGUUCAAAAA
This 1439-nucleotide long non-coding RNA is filed under the name Pan troglodytes (chimpanzee). Its description in RNAcentral is "long non-coding RNA NONPTRT016774". The record is from RNAcentral. Lineage: Eukaryota; Metazoa; Chordata; Mammalia; Primates; Hominidae.